GACGAACGCUGGCGGCGUGCUUAACACAUGCAAGUCGAACGGAAAGGCCUGCUUUCCCUUGUGGAUUGCGGGUACUCGAGUGGCGAACGGGUGAGUAACACGUGAGUGAUCUGCCCCCAACUUGGGUAUAAGCCUGGGAAACUGGGUCUAAUUCCCGAUAGGACUGCAGGGUGGUGCCUGUGGUGGAACACGAUUUUCUAGUGGUUGGGGAUGAGCUCGCGGCCUAUCAGCCUGUUGGUGGGGUAAUGGCCUACCAAGGCGGCGACGGGUAGCCGGCCUGAGAGGGUGGACGGCCACAUUGGGACUGAGAUACGGCCCAGACUCCUACGGGAGGCAGCAGUGGGGAAUAUUGCACAAUGGGCGGAAGCCUGAUGCAGCGACGCCGCGUGGGGGAUGACGGCCUUCGGGUUGUAAACUCCUUUCGACCGCGAGGAAGCCACCUGGUUGGAAGGGUGGUGACGGUAGUGGUAGAAGAAGCACCGGCUAACUACGUG
This 494-nucleotide ribosomal RNA is filed under the name uncultured bacterium. RNAcentral's name for it is "partial 16S ribosomal RNA". It matches the Rfam family "Bacterial small subunit ribosomal RNA", at positions 28 to 507 of the family's 1533-position model. The record is from RNAcentral.